This 414-nucleotide ribosomal RNA is filed under the name uncultured microorganism. RNAcentral describes it as "bacterial SSU rRNA". It matches the Rfam family "Archaeal small subunit ribosomal RNA", at positions 459 to 872 of the family's 1478-position model. The record is from RNAcentral.
CAGCCGCCGCGGUAAUACCGGCGGCCCGAGUGGCGGUCACUAUUAUUGGGCUUAAAGCGUCCGUAGCCGGGUUGGGAAGUCCUCCGGGAAAUCUGGCCGCUUAACGGUCAGAAUGCCGGAGGAUACUCCCAGCCUAGGGAGCGGGAGAGGCCGAGGGUAUUCCCGGAGUAGGGGUGAAAUCCUAUAAUCUCGGGAGGACCACCUGUGGCGAAGGCGCUCGGCUGGAACGCGUCCGACGGUGAGGGACGAAGGCCAGGGGAGCAAACCGGAUUAGAUACCCGGGUAGUCCUGGCUGUAAACGAUGCGGACUUUGUGUCGGACAAGCUAUGAGCUUGUCCGGUGCCGGAGGGAAACCGUUAAGUCCGCCGCCUGGGGAGUACGGCCGCAAGGCUGAAACUUAAAGGAAUUGGCGGG